UGGGGAAUUUUGGACAAUGGGCGCAAGCCUGAUCCAGCCAUGCCGCGUGAGUGAAGAAGGCCUUCGGGUUGUAAAGCUCUUUCGGUGGGGAAGAAAUUGCUUCGAUUAAUACUCGGAGUAGAUGACGGUACCCGCAUAAGAAGCACCGGCUAACUACGUGCCGGCAGCCGCGGUAAUACGUAGGGGGCGAGCGUUAAUCGGAAUUACUGGGCGUAAAGCGUGCGCAGGCGGUUGUGUAAGUCAGAUGUGAAAUCCCCGGGCUCAACCUGGGAACUGCAUUUGAGACUGCACGGCUAGAGUGUAGCAGAGGGGGGUAGAAUUCCACGUGUAGCAGUGAAAUGCGUAGAGAUGUGGAGGAAUACCGAUGGCGAAGGCAGCCCCCUGGGUUACUACUGACGCUCAUGCACGAAAGCGUGGGGAGCAAACA
Molecule: ribosomal RNA, 427 nt
Filed under: uncultured bacterium
Lineage: Bacteria
Description: bacterial SSU rRNA
Rfam family: Bacterial small subunit ribosomal RNA
Source: RNAcentral